This 103-nucleotide microRNA precursor is filed under the name Marmota monax (woodchuck). The record is from RNAcentral. Lineage: Eukaryota; Metazoa; Chordata; Mammalia; Rodentia; Sciuridae.
AGUAGGAUAGCUGGGUCAAAUGGUAGUUCCAUUCCAAGUUUACUGAGGAAUCUCCAUACUGCUUUCCAUAAUGGUUGUACCAAUCUGUAGUCCCAACAGCAAU